RNAcentral lists this ribosomal RNA (450 nucleotides) under uncultured bacterium. RNAcentral describes it as "bacterial SSU rRNA". It matches the Rfam family "Bacterial small subunit ribosomal RNA", at positions 354 to 796 of the family's 1533-position model. The record is from RNAcentral.
GUGGGGAAUUUUGGACAAUGGGCGCAAGCCUGAUCCAGCAAUGCCGCGUGCAGGAAGAAGGCCUUCGGGUUGUAAACUGCUUUUGUACGGAACGAAACGGUCCGGGUUAAUACCCUGGGCUAAUGACGGUACCGUAAGAAUAAGCACCGGCUAACUACGUGCCAGCAGCCGCGGUAAUACGUAGGGUGCAAGCGUUAAUCGGAAUUACUGGGCGUAAAGCGUGCGCAGGCGGUUUUGUAAGACAGGCGUGAAAGCCCCGGGCUCAACCUGGGAAUUGCGCUUGUGACUGAAAGGCUGGAGUGCGGCAGAGGGGGAUGGAAUUCCGCGUGUAGCAGUGAAAUGCGUAGAUAUGCGGAGGAACACCGAUGGCGAAGGCAAUCCCCUGGGCCUGCACUGACGCUCAUGCACGAAAGCGUGGGGAGCAAACAGGAUUAGAUACCCCUGUAGUCC